RNAcentral lists this ribosomal RNA (460 nucleotides) under uncultured bacterium. RNAcentral describes it as "partial 16S ribosomal RNA". It matches the Rfam family "Bacterial small subunit ribosomal RNA", at positions 338 to 795 of the family's 1533-position model. The record is from RNAcentral.
CCUACGGGUGGCAGCAGUGAGGAAUAUUGGUCAAUGGACGCAAGUCUGAACCAGCCAUGCCGCGUGCAGGAAGACGGCUCUAUGAGUUGUAAACUGCUUUUGUACGAGGGUAAACGCAGGUACGCGUAUCUGUCUGAAAGUAUCGUACGAAUAAGGAUCGACUAACUCCGUGCCAGCAGCCGCGGUAAUACGGAGGAUUCAAGCGUUAUCCGGAUUUAUUGGGUUUAAAGGGUGCGUAGGCGGUCGGAUAAGUUAGCGGUGAAAGCCCGAGGCUCAACUUCGGAAUUGCCGCUGAUACUGUUCGGCUAGAGAGUAGUUGCGGUAGGCGGAAUGUAUGGUGUAGCGGUGAAAUGCUUAGAGAUCAUACAGAACACCGAUUGCGAAGGCAGCUUACCAAGCUACGUCUGACGUUGAGGCACGAAAGCGUGGGGAGCAAACAGGAUUAGAUACCCGGGUAGUC